UACGGAGGGGACUAGCGUUGUCCGGAAUUACUGGGCGUAAAGCGCACGUAGGCGGAUUUGUAAGUCAGGGGUGAAAUCCCGGGGCUCAACCUCGGAACUGCCUUUGAUACUGCAAAUCUCGAGUCCGGAAGAGGUGAGUGGAAUUCCUAGUGUAGAGGUGAAAUUCGUAGAUAUUAGGAAGAACACCAGUGGCGAAGGCGGCUCACUGGUCCGGUACUGACGCUGAGGUGCGAAAGCGUGGGGAGCAAACAGG
RNAcentral lists this ribosomal RNA (253 nucleotides) under uncultured bacterium. RNAcentral describes it as "partial 16S ribosomal RNA". It matches the Rfam family "Bacterial small subunit ribosomal RNA", at positions 524 to 776 of the family's 1533-position model. The record is from RNAcentral.